UGCUUACUUGAAUAUUAGUUUAAAAAGAAACCAUAUAUGAAUCUUAACUGUGUUCUGUGUUUUAGGAAAAUCUUGCUGAAACACUAACCAAAGACUCUUGGGCUAUUAGCUUACAUCUUAAGAUAUAAGAUUCAUAUUAUAAAGAUUCAAGGUUUUGAUUUUCAUUCUGCACCAUUCUUCUGCCUGUUGUCUGUCCAACAUCUGAACUUAAGAGUAUCCAAAAUGCUCGUCCAUUUUUGGUCCAGAACAUCUGGAGGAUAUCAAAUGCAGCAUGAUAAACAAUGCACAAAUAAUAAAAUCAUUUAUCCCAAUGACCAAGCGUGACUGAUGCAAUCAUGGAAGAAUUUGUCUCCCCUGCCAAACCCCCAAGUAAGAUCUGUGAGUGCUUUGCGAGGACAGAAUAAUAAAACUACGUGGAGGAAAUUGGAAAACUGAAAGAAAAGAUGAAAUAGAGGAUUUCAAGCCAUCCAACUUGUUGGAAAUCUGAAGAGCAGCAUUCUGCCAUUUUCCCCCUUUGUAUCUUUGAAGCACUUCUCUACUUGAUGCAUUUUUUUUUUAUUCUGUUUUUCCUCCCUGCCAGAAUAUUUAACAUCCACUCCAGAUUUAAUCUCCCAGCAAGAGCCAUGGUGGCUCCAGCGCUCAGAGGAAAGGGAGAAUCGAGAGAGCCGGAGUCUAGGCAAGGGACAAGUUGAACCCUCUCGGAUCCUAUCUGAGGGAGAAUCUGAAGGCCACAAAUCACCCAUCGGCCCUGCUCCCUCUUACAAUGGGACAAGACCCAGAGAUGCUUGUGACAACGUGACGGACGAAAACUUGGCAGAAAAUCAGCCACAGGGUGGCCUUAUGAUAGGAGAAGGCGGUGGUGUGUUACCAUGCAGCUCUAAAAGAGAUGGUUCCCUGCAGCCCAGGGGAACUUUUAAAAGCAGAAACACUUGAGGAAAAGAAUGGACUGAAUCCGGUUCGUAGGAUCGACGGACUUCACUUAAAAACCCAAACCAUCCUAUUAGGCUUUGUGGCUUUUUUCUCCAAGAUGGUGGCCUUCCCCCUGGAUGGCAUUUAAUUCUCAUGAAUGGCCUAGCUGGCUGGGAAACUCUGGGAGCCAGAGGGCUACCCAUUUUGAACAAAUUAGUUUAUGGCUGUAGAAACCAUCCCAAGAGAUUCUGGGAAGGUUUUUGUUUAUUUUAACGAGUUGGAAAAGGGAGAAAGGCAUGGUUUUGGGAUCUGUUUUGUCUCUUGCAUUGCAAAGGUGUCCUUGAAAGCUCUGUUUGGGCCAUAGCUUUUUUUAAAACACUGGCAGGAAGUCAUCUGAUUGUAACAUGAGGAACAAAUUAACAGAGUUGGAAGGGACCUUGUAGGUCAUUUAGUCCAACCCCCCACCUAAACAGGAGACCCCAUACCUGUGAUGGUGAACUUAUGGCAUGUGUGCCACAGGUGGCACAUAGAGCCAUUGCUGCGGGCACACGAACCCCAGGCAAACUUAUCUCAUUGUGCAUGCGUGCGCCUCCCAGCUGAUUUUCGGGCCUUUUUCGGCCUGCCAAAGGCCUGAAGGAAGCCUCUGCAGGCUUUGCAGGCCGAAAAAUAGGCCCAUUUCAUCACUUCCUGUAUUUCCAGAAAUACCUGAAAUGAUGAAACGGGCCCAUUUUUCAGCCUGCAAAACCUGCAGAGGCUUCCUUCAAGCCUCUGGCAACCCGAAAAAGGCCUCAAACAGACUGAAAAUCAGCUGGGAGGCACAGUGCAGGUAAGGGAGCAGUGAGGGGGGGAAUCGUGUACACAUGCACAGGGGGUGUUGGGGGGACCCCAAAAAGGUUAGCCACCACUACCCUACACCAUUUUGACAAAGUCUCUUCUUCUGUGCUCCUUCAUACAAAUAAAGAUGGAAACUUAUAUAUCAAGGGUUCCCAAACUUGAGCACUUUAAGACUUGUGGCAUAGCUGGCUGGAGAAUUCUGGGAGUUGAAGUCCACAAGUCUUAAAGUAGCCAAGUUUGGAGGCCUCUGAUAUAGAUGGUUAUAUGUCUAUGGAGAUUCUCAGUCAUCCAAGUCAUGGUUGUCCCAAAACUGCUUUUUUUUUCAAGAGGCAACUGAUCUUUCUUUGUUAUUUUUUCUUUGAAUAUAUUUUGCUUCUUAUCUGAUAAGCUUCUUCAGCUCUGACUGGAUGGUGGGGAAUGGAAGGAUUUAUCUUCCUUGCCAGACAGUUAGUCAUUUGCAUACUCUAGAGAGUCCUUGAAGCCCUUGUAGGUUGAUCUGUGUCCUCAGGGUUGCCUGAGUUGUGCUAAUGGUUCCUGUUGGAGUUUGCAAUUCUCAUCCAAGAAGACAAAACUUCUCAUCCAAGAAGAUAAGUGAAACUUCUUCAAAGAAAAACUGGCAAGUCCAGUUGCCUUUUGAAAAAAAAAAAGCACCCUUGAGAUAUAUGGUUAUAUUUUAGUCUGGAGAAAUCCAGAUAAACCUGCGCUGAAAUGGAGCAAUGGAUUAGAGAACCAGGGUGGGUAAUUAAUUUUCCAAAGAGUCCAUAUGAGAAACCGAGACUGUUGUGGAGGGCCGAACCAAUAAGGUUCUGAAGGUACAUAAAUGUGCAUGGAUACACACACAUAUUUUUUUUUUAAAAUAGUUGCUUUUAAAAUCAAAAGCAAUCUACACAGGCCAGGCAGGGACAACUGUUAGGAAUGUAAGUCACCUAACAGUUGGGUUGGAAAAUAUAUAAACCAGGAUAGAUAUUUUAAUACUGUCUCUUUAAGGGAAUGCUAAAAUUGU
This 2746-nucleotide long non-coding RNA is filed under the name Laticauda laticaudata (blue-ringed sea krait). RNAcentral's name for it is "lncRNA (ENSLLTG00000002721.1)". Lineage: Eukaryota; Metazoa; Chordata; Lepidosauria; Squamata; Elapidae. The record is from RNAcentral.